Molecule: long non-coding RNA, 817 nt
Organism: Pongo pygmaeus (Bornean orangutan)
Lineage: Eukaryota; Metazoa; Chordata; Mammalia; Primates; Hominidae
Exons: 3
Source: RefSeq, a predicted model, not a curated record
ACAGAACAGGCAGAGGCAGUUCAGGGGGGAUUCUGGUUGCCUUACCCAGCUCUGAAGUCUGUCAGCCUCUUCAGAUGUCACUUGCCCUGUGGUAAGGAAGUGUAGUCGGCAGCUGGUGCAGAGGCAAGAAGAGAAAGGAAGUUCCCCAAGAUGGAAACAUCUCAGCAGACUCCAUCAUGAAUUCAUGGCACCACACAGUCCCCUGAUGCUAUAACGUCAUGGAUUUCUUUUGUCCAGUGAGAGGCCCAAAAGCUGCAGCAUAGACAACAUCAUAGUGUAGAAGGUUAACUAGACCGUGAUCAUGGGCUACAUUCUCCGUACCAACUUCAUAACUCCAGUGAGAAAAUAAAUUCCUGCGUCCAGGAGAGGUGGAGUAAGCGAUACAGCUCACCUUGACCACAUUUCUUACUUCUGAGAAGAUUGUAGCAGUAAUUCAGGGGCUAUUAUUUGGGACAUUUCUAAUUCAGGAAACUUUCUUACCCCGUGAGCUUACAAUUCACCCCAUAGGAAUGAGAGCCUCAUUCAAAUUGAUAAUCUUAAGCGGGGCAUGGUGGCUCACACCUGUAAUCCCAGCACUUUGGGAGGCCGAGGGUGGCGGAUCACAAGGUCAGGAGAUUGAAACCAUCCUAGCUAACAUGGUGAAACCCUGUCUCUAAUAAAAUACAAAAAAUUAGCCGGGCAUGCUGGUGGGCGCCUGUAGUCCCAGCUACUUGGGAGGCUGAGGUAGGAGAAUGGCGUGAACCCAGGAGGCAGAGCUUGCAGUGAGCCGAGAUCAUGCCACUGCACUGCAGCCUGGGGGACAGAGUGAGACUGUCUC